RNAcentral lists this ribosomal RNA (253 nucleotides) under uncultured bacterium. RNAcentral's name for it is "partial 16S ribosomal RNA". It matches the Rfam family "Bacterial small subunit ribosomal RNA", at positions 524 to 776 of the family's 1533-position model. The record is from RNAcentral.
UACGUAGGGUGCGAGCGUUGUCCGGAAUUAUUGGGCGUAAAGGGCUCGUAGGCGGUCUGUUGCGUCGGUAGUGAAAACUCAGGGCUUAACCCUGAGCCUGCUUCCGAUACGGGCAGACUAGAGGUAUGCAGGGGAGAACGGAAUUCCUGGUGUAGCGGUGAAAUGCGCAGAUAUCAGGAGGAACACCGGUGGCGAAGGCGGUUCUCUGGGACGGUACUGACGCUGAGACGCGAAAGCGUGGGGAGCGAACAGG